CACUCGCAAUAAUCAGUGCACGUGUAUGGCACUGACGUUCUUGGCCUACCAUGCUGAGGGGUUUCAUUUUGAUGCAGACGUUCUUGACAGAGUUCUUGAAAAUGGAGACUCGCUCUAUGCGUGGACAAUAUGUGGGCUAGGACUACGUUUAAUCAGCAAUCAUUUAACCAAAGAGGAAAUGCCAAAGAUAGUUCACACCGACAACAAUGCAUACACGGUUACACAGUUGGAGCCGAAAUUUGGUUUGGUGAGGGAUCGCAGCAAUUCCCUAGUAGAUCCUUAUUUGUUGCCACUUGCCAGACAACUUGAGUGCCUCUCACAAGAUGUCACUCAUGCUUUUCUGAUUGUGGCUCCAGAGUGCUUUGCGGUUUUUCGUGAUAGGUCAGGAUGCUAUGGUUUUUUUGAUUCGCACAGUCGAUCUUCAGUAGGUUUGCCAGUCCCAAACGGAACUGCGAUUAUGAUGACAUUUUCUCACUUAGAUGACUUAGUCAACCAUGUGCAUGAGCUCCUUUCGGAUCGCAGCCCCGAUGCAAACUACGAGUUGGUACCGGUUUCCUUUGGAUUAGAACAGAUAGCAAGUGACAGACAGGUGCCGUUGGAUGUCGUAGUCAUUUCAGAGCCCACCAAAGUAACAGACGCAGCAAUAAGAGAAUGUGUUGAGACAGAUCAAGAGGAGCUGAUAGUACCACCAUGCGUCCAUGUUCAAAUAGAUUUUUCCAAAGUGAGUAAAACGAGGCGACGGACCACUAUGAAAAGGGCACUCAAGUGCCAACAAUGUAGACCGUACGAAGUUUCAAAAGAACCUGAUCCCCGUCAAAAAAAACUUCUACAAAUGAAGGUCAAGUAUGUAUCAGACACUAAUUACCGCCAACAAAAAUUAAACAGCUUUACCAAGCGAUACAGGUGUGAUAGUGCCUUUAAGAAUAAACAGAAGACACAGGUUGCUGAAAAAUACCACAGAAGUUCAACGGCCAAAAAGACUUUAAUGUCAGCAUAUGUUAGGAGAAGGUAUCAAUCUGAUCUGGCUUUUGUUGAACGACAGAAGCUGAAUCUCAGGGAAGGGUAUCACCUGGAUCCUGAUAUGCAGGUGAGAAAAAAGUUAAAUCAGAGGGAGCGGUAUCACCGGGAUCCAGCUUUUCAGGCGAGACAAAAGUUAUAUGUGAGAGAGAGGUAUCACAGGGAUCCAGCUUUUCAGGCGAGACAAAGGUUAUAUAUGAGGGAGCGGUAUCACCGGGAUCCAGCUUUUCAGGCAAGAUAUAGGGUGUAUCUAAGAGAUAAAUAUCGCAACCAUCCAGGUUUUAAGCAAAGGUGGGCUGUUUUCAUGAAAACAUGGAUGCAGAAGUAUAGAAACAAUCCUCAUUUUCAAAAUAAGAAAUAUGUGAGAGAUAGUAAUAGACAUUCUAAUGUAAGGCUACAUCAUGUUAAGCGUUGCGAAAAGAACCGUCUUAAUGGGCAGCGUAUUCGGCACAAAUUACAAUGCGCACUUCAAAUAAAGAAUAAAUACAUGACUAGAACUCAACAUUCAGCCAACAAUGUGCAGGAUCCAGCAAGCGCUGUAAUGAAAGCAGCAAUAUCGUCUUUCCGCGAAAGAGUCGCACAUGGGCCCACAUGUGUUUGUACUGUAUGCCACCGUGCUCUUUUCCUAAAUCAGGUACAGAAAUGCAAUCGAGGAAAAUAUAGCAACAACCGUGACAUAGUGGCCGCCAGCUUGACAGGUAAAUAUGUUCACGUCUGCAACAACAGUUGUUCUGCCCCAUGCACUGCCUCGCAAGAGAGAAAGCAGGAAUGGAUAUGUCACACCUGUGACUCCCACCUUAGGAGAUGUGCAAUGCCACCUCUGGCAGUUGCAAAUAAGUUGGAUCUGGCACCCAUUCCCCAAGAGCUGUCCGAUUUAAAUGUCCUCGAGAGACAGCUGAUUGCAAAAAUUAUACCUUUUGCGAAAAUUGUAGCAUUGCCCAAAGGACGGCAACGAGCUGUUCAUGGCUCAGUAGUGUGCGUACCGUCGGAAAUGGAAGCAGCAGUGAACUCACUACCUAGGCCACGUAGCGAAGCUCAACUGCUGCAGGUAAAGCUGAAGAGACGCCUUCGGUAUAAAGGACAUCAGCAUUUUUAUACGGUAAAUAUGGCGAAUGUUAUAGCUGGGCUCAGGACGCUGAUACACACUCAUCCACAGUACAGGGAUGUGUGCAUCAAUGAGAGUGCAGCAGCUGAAAGUGUCCUUGAAGGGGAAGAGGAGCCAUCCGCCCUGCCGUCAUCAUCCUUGCAGCAAGAGGCCAGCAACGCCCAAGUUACGCAGGCACAGCAUGUUGAAUGUGAUCAGGAGGAACUUCGGCCGGGCGUCAUGCUCGAUACAUGCAUGCAGCCGCUUGACAUUGCACAGGAAAGUCUUUCAUUUGGGGAUGGGAUAUUCAGCAUUGCUCCUGCCCAACAAAACAAGCCUGUUGGAUUUUUUGCUGUGCCGCAGCUGGAGGCCAUGGCCUUUCCUGUUCUGUUCCCAACGGGAAAGAACACGAUGGAUGAGGAGAGGAUCGUUAAAGUAUCACCGAGUUCUUACUUUAACACCAGAUUGUUUUCCGUGGAUCCACGCUUUGCUGAAGAUCAGGGCUACCUUUUCUUUGCCCAAUUUGUUAUUGAAACUUACAUGGCCAAUAACAGCAUGUCGAUUCAGUCGCGGAAAGGAAAACCUCACACUGCGGAUGGGAGGAAAAUUCUGAACCGGAUGAUCCAGGACAAGGAGGCGUUGGAGCGGCUCAUACAGAACAGGGAAGCGACCAGAUUUAUGCAGCCACUCCGAGGAACACCAGCAUACUGGGAGAAAGCUCACCGGGAGCUCCACGCAAUGGCCAGGCAGUUGGGGAAGCCAACAUUUUUUCUUACCUUUUCUGCGGCGGAAAUGAGAUGGCCUGAAGUCACUGCUGUGAUAAAAGCGCAGCAAGGCCAACAGGAGGGUCACUUUUCAGAUCUGGACUGGAACGCUAAAUGCGAGAUUCUCCGCAGCAAUCCAGUCACGGUCAUGCGCAUGUUUGAGAAAAGGGUAGAUGCUCUCUUAGAGCUUAUUCUGUCUCCUGCGCAGCCCAUCGGCCCAGUCGAGGACUACUUUUAUCGUGUUGAGUUUCAAGCACGAGGAAGUCCUCAUAUACACAUGGUGGUGUGGAUAAAGGACGCACCGGUGAUCGAGGAACCAGAUCCCAUCUACUGUGGCGAAGUGGUCGAAUUCAUCGACCGUUAUAUCACCUGCCACAUCCCCGAUCAAACCAAGGAUCCGGAACUCCAUGAAGUGGUUACGAGUGUUCAAACUCACAGCCGCAGUCACACCAAAUCUUGCCGAAAAGGAAAUGUCUCCUGUCGUUUUGGAUUCCCUAAACUGCCCAUGGAUGUCACCACAAUUACCUUUCCCUUUGAGGACCCGACCAGUGAUGACGAAGAGGAAAACAAUGACCCCAAGAAGAAGAGACGGAAGGAGGAAGACGCCCGUGCCAAAAGGACCAAGUUGGCGAAGAAACAGAGGGAGUCCAAGGAAAAGCUGAAACAGCUAAGAGAGCGUCUUAUGGACACACAGGUUCCGGAGGACUUGACGGACCUGCUCAAUUCGUGCCAGCUGACCCUGGGUCGGUAUAAGCACUAUGUUGAGAACCUCAGUACUGGGAUGGCUGUCCACUUGAAGCGUACACCGCAAGAAAGUUGGACUAAUGCCUACAACCCCCAUCUGCUGCGUGCGUGGAACGCCAACAUGGACAUCCAGUAUAUUCUGGAUGAUAUCAGCUGCAUCAUGUACAUGAUGUCUUACAUCUCCAAGCCGGAGCACGAGAUGACAGAGUUCCUCAAAUCUGUCAUCAAGGACGUGCAAAAGUCUGACGCCAACCAGAAGGAGGAGAUGCCAAAGAUCAUGCAGGCGUAUUCAAAGCACAGAGAGGUAAGUGCUCAGGAGGCAGUGGCACGAACAUGCAGUUUGCCCCUGAAGAAGUCCUCACGCAAUGUGGUGUUCCUCCAAACCGACGAGGACGGUUUCCGAAUGAGUCUGCCCAUGAGUCGGCUUAUGACCAUGCACCCAGAUUCAGCUGAAGUGUGGAUGUCAAGUUUGCCGGAAAAGUACGCCAACAGACCACGUACGCAGGCGUUUGAGUCUAUGUGUCUGGCAGAGUUUGCGUCUGAUUACAGGGUGGUCUACGGUCACCAGAGAGAAGGGCCAAAUGUCAUUCCCCUUUUGAACGACAUGGGUUGCAUUCAGAAGAGGACCAGGGGAAAACCUGCCGUCAUAAGAUACACGCGGUUUUCCAUGACAAAGGUUCCUGAAAAAUAUUUCAGGGCCCUUCUCAAACUCUACUUGCCCCACAGGACGGACCGUGAGUUGACCAGCGACUCCCACCCAACCUAUGAGUCAUUCUACCUGGACGGAUGGUCAAGGCUAGGUCCUGCAAAGGCCAUCGUUGAUGAGAAAAUGAAGCGGUUUGAGGGCCAAGCGAAGAAACUGGACAAGGCUUUGGAGCGACUCCAACAGGAAGGUCCAGCUGUUAAUGCGUGGAACUCUUUUGCGCCAGAGGUGGAAGCAGAGCGCCUGGAAUGUCUUGCUGCGCUGAAGGCCAUGAUGCCAAACGCAGCGGACGAGCGGGAUGAGCAGGAUGAUGUUCCUGCCUAUCAGGCUGACCUUUCCGGCGCCCCAGCACUGCCGGCCUUUGAAGCACCCCAGUUGAGUCCGGACUUUGUGAGGAGGAUGUACCGCAGUCUUAACAUCAUGCAGGCUUCCGUCUUCUAUGCCGUACGCGACUGGUGUUUGCAGCGCGUUUCUGAUCGCGACCUUGAGCCCUUUCAUUAUUUCAUCUCAGGGGGAGCUGGAUGUGGCAAGUCACAUGUCAUCAAGUGCAUUUACCAGGAGGCCACCAAGAUUUUUCGGCAGCUUCCUGGCAUUCGUACCGAUGCGGAUUUGUCUCAACCCACGGUUCUGUUGACGUCAUUUACCGGCACAGCUGCGUUCAACAUUUCUGGGAAAACCUUGCACUCGGUCUUGAAGCUCCCAAGAAGUUUGAGGCCUCCAUAUCAAGGACUCGGCAACGCGCUGGACACCUUGCGGGCGAGUCUUUCCAACGUGCAGAUUUUAAUCAUUGAUGAAAUAUCAAUGGUCUCCAAGGAUCUUUUUGCGUAUGUCCACUGGCGGUUCCAGCAAGUCAAGGGCAACCGGAAGACCUUUGGAGGGAUCUCUGUGCUUGUAGUUGGGGACUUUUACCAGCUGCCACCUCUUGGAAGGGCCAAACCCCUCUGUGUGUAUGAGGAUAAUGUCCUUGACCUCUGGACCAACUUUCAGUUGGUCCGACUUACGGAGAUCAUGCGACAGAAGGAGGACCUGACCUUUGCCCAGCUUUUGAACAGGGUAAGGGAAAAGAGGAAGGAGGAGCCCUUGUAUGAAAGUGACCGGGCUUUACUGCAGCAGGCUACUGUCGAAACAUCACAGUGUCACACCAGUACGCUCCACAUUUUUGCAACCAAUAAGGAGGUUGACGAACACAACCGUGCAACUGUGGCAGCUUUGAAACUGAAUGUGGUCGACAUUCCGGCAGAAAACUACAGAAAAGACCCCCGGACCGGACAAUUGGUCAUCGUGUCCAACAUGAUAACCGGGAGGAAAAGAGAUCUGCCCGACAACCUGCAAGCCGCUGUAGGAGCACGAGUCAUGAUCAUCCGGAACUUGGACAUUGAGGAUGGUCUCGUGAACGGCACCUUCGGGACCAUCAUGAACAUUGUCCGUGGACCACAGGGCGCUGUUACUUUUCUUGGCAUUUCUUUGGACAAUCCUGGAGCAGGCCUGAAAUUUCGGAAGAAACUUCAGGGACCCGGGGACGAUUUGGCCUACAUAGAAAAGUCAGAGGAAAGUUUAAGCAUCAAAGGACUGGUGAGGCGGCAAUUCCCGGCAAAACUGGCCUUUGGAUGCACGGCGCACAAAGUGCAAGGCAUGACGCUAUCUUCUGCGGUCGUAUCUCUGAAGCGCGUGUUUGAACCUGGAAUGGCCUACGUCGCUCUAAGUCGCACGACCUCGCUCCAGGGACUGAAGAUCAUGGACUUGGAUGAGAAGAAAAUAUAUGCUGAUCCCACCAUUGCUUUGGCAAUGGACAGCAUGUUGCACGCUUCUUUCUUGUCUGUCAGACCGCUGUUGCACUUUGAACAAGGGCCUUCUCCGACUUUGAAGAUUGUCCACCAUAACACAGAGGGCCUCGCGUGUCACAUGGAGGACAUCAAAUCUCAUCAUGAGCUGAGACUGGCUGAUGUGCUUUGUUUGACGGAAACCCAUUUGUCUGGUUCCAUCUCGCCACACUUGCAGCUGGAGGACUACGCUGUUUUUGUACGGAACAGACGUGUUUCCUGUUUAAACAGGCCAGACACGGCUGCGAAAGAGGGAGGCGGAGUUGCAGCCUACUGUCGGAGGGAACUUCAAGGCCAGCCCCUUCGGUUUGUCCAGAAUGUGCCAGACCUUGAAUUCUUGGUGGUUAAAGUCACGGUGCCGAUCCCGGCUGUGGUGGCUACUGUUUAUCGACCACCAAACUUGAGUCUGGGCACAUUUCUACCUAAUUUGACAAACCUCUUGGACACCUUGGCAAUGAUGGAAAGCCACCCCAUUGUUGUUUGUGGCGACUUCAACGAGGACCUGCUUUCAAAACGCAAGAAGCCUAUACUGGAGUUGUUUGAGUCCAGAGGCUAUACACAGCUCAUCGGCAAGGCAACAACUGAUCCUGGUCUGGUCUACACAUGCUGUCUUGUCCCCAAUGAACAUUUGCUUGCAAUGACCAUGUGGCCAUUUCUUCCCCUCCAUCCAUCCACGCCAUCUCACAUACGUAAGUACUCCGUGCUUGUGUCCUGAAGGCUAGGUAUGCUGUACCUCUGCUCAUGGGCUGCCUUUCAGAAAUGCUGCUGCACACGCUUUAGCCCCAACCGGAAGAUGUUGCUUUAUUAUAUGUAGUAGAUACAUACUCUAGUCAGAAUUACUGUAUUAUCUCUGAACGGGCAGUGUUGGCAUAGUCAUGUUCUCCAUGUUCUCAAUGUUCUCCCUAUUCCUGAAACUUCAUGUCACUUAUGAUGGAACAUUCUAAUAACUUGUCUCUCUCUCUCUCUCUCUCUCCCCUGUAGUAGGCACUAUUGCAUGAAUAGCCUGUUUGAGGCUGUUAUGUUCUACUCGGUCAUAGUAUUACUUUCAGCUUUUUCAAUUACUGUACUGACUUGUUACUAACUUGUCUCUCUUUCUCUCUCCCCUGUAGUAGGCACUGCUGCAUUGAAGACAUGAGAACAGUUAUUGGUAUCAGCGUUGCUGAUAUGUAGUCAUCGGACCGCUUUUUUUUCCGCAAUAUAUAAUAUAAAAGUAUAUACUGUUUGGGUGUGUGUGUGUGUAUAUACAGUAUCUAUAUGACAGUUACUAAUUUAUUUGACUAACUUGUCUCUCUUUCUCUCCCCUGUAGUAGGCACUGCUGCACAAAGAGCUGAGAACAGCAAAGCUCAAAGAUUUGUAUUAGUGGCAGUACAUUUUACACAAUAUAUAACAUGUAUAAAGUGUAUAUGUAUAUGACAGUUACUGAUAACAUUUGACUAACUUGUCUGUCUUUCUCUCCCCUGUAGUAGGCGCUGCUGCGUGAAAAGCAAAGCUCAUAGAUUUGUAGUAGUCGCAGUACUUUUCCGCAAUAUGUCACGUGGAGUCUAUACAGUAUAUUGGGGAUGCUCAGCAUAUGAAUAUCCCAGCUGACUUCCUGUGUGGAUAAAAAGCUGAUAGUGUCAGAUUUGUGAUUUGUGUGUUUUACAGCUACAGAGGAGAACAGGUUCAACUCGCAUUCUGAUACCAACUGCAGGACAUGACAGAAAAGGGAAAGGACAAUCCUUUACACAAACAUUUCCCGGACGUGUUAAUACUUCCUGUUCCUGUUUUAAUACGUAGUUACCUACCACAUACAUAUGUUCACUAUGCCUUUUUGUUCUCAAGCGUUUGCACCUUUAUGUAUAAAGACCAUUAUUAUGCAUAAUCAUGCUGUACCAAACAUUUUUCUAUUGUAACCUAAACGGUCGAGACAGACGGCUGCCCCACUGAGCCUGGGUUCUGUCCAAGGUUUCUUCCCAAGUGGGAGUUUUUCCUUGCCUCCGUUGCCAGGUGCUUGCUCAUGUGGGUUUCUGUUGUUCAUUUAUGAUAAACUUGAUAGACCAAACUAAUGAUGAUGAUGAUAAUAAUAAUGUGAACCAAAGUGCCUCGAGAUCACUUGUUUUGUUGUGAGUUGGUGCGAUAUGUCAUUGAACGCUUCUUUUAAUUACUGCUGGUUUUUUUUCUGAAAUAUUUGAUGUGCCUUGGGCCGCUGACCUAAACUGUUGAGUUACAUACGGGACAUGUUGCCUUGCUACAUGAAGUGUUUGUCAUUGAUUUUAUCUUUCUAUAUUACAGAAUAUUAUACAUCACAAUACUGUUCAUAACUGGUGUAAUUGUUGACAUUUUGACUUCAAGAAUUUAAGGCUUUGUUGCAUCUUGUGGUUCCUUUUUAAAUAAACUGU
Doryrhamphus excisus (bluestripe pipefish) is the source of this 8511-nucleotide non-coding RNA. The record is from RefSeq and is a predicted model, not a curated record. NCBI's taxonomy places the organism in Eukaryota, Metazoa, Chordata, Actinopteri, Syngnathiformes, Syngnathidae.